GAGUUUGAUCCUGGCUCAGAACGAACGCUGGCGGCGUGCUUAACACAUGCAAGUCGAACGGAUUUGAGAAGCUUGCUUCUCAAGUUAGUGGCGCACGGGUGAGUAACGCGUAGAUAAUCUGCCUGAUGAUCUGGGAUAACACUUCGAAAGGGGUGCUAAUACCGGAUAAGCCCACGGAGUCUUUGGACUUUGCGGGAAAAGGGGGGGACCUUCGGGCCUUCUGUCAUCAGAUGAGUCUGCGUACCAUUAGCUAGUUGGUAGGGUAAAGGCCUACCAAGGCUACGAUGGUUAGCUGGUCUGARAGGAUGAUCAGCCACACUGGAACUGAGACACGGUCCAGACUCCUACGGGAGGCAGCAGUGGGGAAUUUUGUGCAAUGGGCGAAAGCCUGACGCARCAACGCCGCGUGAGUGAUGAAGGCUUUCGGGUCGUAAAGCUCUGUCGAGGGGAAAGAAGUGUAUUAGGGCUAAUAUCCCUGAUACUUGACGGUACCCCUAAAGGAAGCACCGGCUAACUCCGUGCCAGCAGCCGCGGUAA
This 537-nucleotide ribosomal RNA is filed under the name uncultured Geobacteraceae bacterium. RNAcentral's name for it is "bacterial SSU rRNA". It matches the Rfam family "Bacterial small subunit ribosomal RNA", at positions 9 to 523 of the family's 1533-position model. Lineage: Bacteria; Pseudomonadati; Thermodesulfobacteriota; Desulfuromonadia; Geobacterales; Geobacteraceae. The record is from RNAcentral.